Molecule: long non-coding RNA, 1252 nt
Organism: Ostrea edulis (European flat oyster)
Lineage: Eukaryota; Metazoa; Mollusca; Bivalvia; Ostreida; Ostreidae
Exons: 3
Source: RefSeq, a predicted model, not a curated record
CUAUCUACAGUCACUUCCGCUUCCAUAUUUUGAAAUCGUCGAUCUGUGAACAUUGUGAGGAAAGGAAAGCAAAACAAUGGGAGAAACACGUGGAGAGUAUACAAUCUAUUUUGUGGACAACUUGUUAAAGGCUCCUAGAGUAUUCUUAUGGGGUAAGCGACGUGUAUAACACUGGAAGAAGCAGUCCUACCAAACUUGAAAAGCCACGAGGUCGAGUGGUAAUGGCGCGCCCGUGCCGAUGAACUUGCACGUUGUUUUCACAAUCGGUUUUCCCAACUGCCGACUAUUCCUUGUCAGAUAAUCCUAAAAAUCCGGGAGAUAUAGCAUAGCCUAUCUAACUUUGAAGUUUGAGGAAGCAGACUGACUUUGAAGACGACAAUGAUGUUGAUUGAAUAAUACCAGGAUGCAGCAUUGCAGAAAGUAAUGACGGUAUCUGACAUGUCUUAUGCCAAUCAAUUCCUCCAGAAGAUGACACAAACUUUAAAUUAUGGAAGUUGCGAGCAAGAAUUUUUCAAGGGAAUGUCAGAUGGAGAAGAAACAUCAGUCAACAAGACAGUACUAGUGUAAAAUGAUAAAGUAUCUGUAAUAGGUGCUUACCAUAUUCUGCCUAUUGUGGAUUCAGUGAUGGUUUUUCAAACGAACUAUGCUCAUCAACCAAAUGUCCUUAAAAUUUGUGGAGUGCAGAGCCACUUUCAGGCGAGACAGUAGUGUGGUUCAUUUUAGUGGACAUGAUUUUAGACGAGAUGUGCUUUGUGAAACUUGAAACAUUGUUCAUUCAUCAUAGUGUAAUGAGAACUGUUGUGGUCCAUCAUUCUAUGCUUUAGUGAAGUAAUGGAUAUAAUGUGAAGUACAUGUGUAAAUGCUCAUAUUCUGCACAACAUAUUUUUCAGUGACAUUAUUUCUUUGAGACCAAGCUCUGGACAGUUGAUAGCCAUUUAUGUGUAGGACUUUAUUUAUUUUUCUGUGUGUGCAAUAGCAACUGUCACUUGCAGUAAACCCAAACAAAAUGGAGAAAUAAUUUGUUGAGUUCAGAGAUUACAAUUUUUAUUGUGUUAUUUUGAUGAGAAGAUAGUAUUAAUAAGGUACAAUGGUACAUUGUAUCUUAUUGAAAAGCUUAUUUAAGAGUUAUCAGUAGAAUUAGACUGCAUGACAAUUAUUAGAAUGGGAAACCUAGAUGAAGUCAAAAGAAACUAUACUGUAUUUUACAGACUGUCCUGGAAAUAUCAUGCAAUAAAUAAUGUCUCCAGUGUUA